CCUACGGGAGGCAGCAGUGGGGGAUAUUGGACAAUGGGGGGAACCCUGAUCCAGCGACGCAGCGUGAGUGAAGAAGUAUCUCGGUAUGUAAAGCUCUAUCAGCAGGGAAGAAGAAAUGACGGUACCUGAGUAAGAAGCCCCGGCUAACUACGUGCCAGCAGCCGCGGUAAUACGUAGGGGGCAAGCGUUAUCCGGAAUUACUGGGGGUAAAGGGAGCGUAGACGGUGAUGUAAGUCUGGAGUGAAAGGCGGGGGCCCAACCCCCGGACUGCUCUGGAAACUAGGUGACUGGCGUGCAGGAGAGGUGAGCGGAAUUCCUAGUGUAGCGGUGAAAUGCGUAGAUAUUAGGAGGAACACCAGUGGCGAAGGCGGCUCACUGGACUGUAACUGACGUUGAGGCUCGAAAGCGUGGGGAGCAAACAGGAGUAGAUACCCCUGUAGUC
RNAcentral lists this ribosomal RNA (442 nucleotides) under uncultured bacterium. RNAcentral describes it as "partial 16S ribosomal RNA". It matches the Rfam family "Bacterial small subunit ribosomal RNA", at positions 338 to 795 of the family's 1533-position model. The record is from RNAcentral.